UCAAGCUCUGCUUGGUGUUGGGCGUCUGUCCCGCCUCUGCGCGUGGACUCGCCCCAAAUUCAUUGGCAGCGGUCUUUGCCUCCUCUCGCGCAGCACAAUUGCGUUUCUUGAGGGGGUGGGUCGCAU
RNAcentral lists this ribosomal RNA (126 nucleotides) under Microsphaeropsis arundinis. RNAcentral's name for it is "5.8S ribosomal RNA". Lineage: Eukaryota; Fungi; Ascomycota; Dothideomycetes; Pleosporales; Didymellaceae. The record is from RNAcentral.